GACGAACGCUGGCGGCGUGCUUAACACAUGCAAGUCGAACGGAAAGGCCCUGCUUUUGUGGGGUGCUCGAGUGGCGAACGGGUGAGUAACACGUGAGUAACCUGCCCUUGACUUUGGGAUAACUUCAGGAAACUGGGGCUAAUACAGGAUAGGAGCUCCUGCUGCAUGGUGGGGGUUGGAAAGUUUCGGCGGUUGGGGAUGGACUCGCGACUUAUCAGCUUGUUGGUGGGGUAGUGGCUUACCAGGGCUUUGACGGGUCGCCGGCCUGAGAGGGUGACCGGCCACAUUGGGCCUGAGAUACGGCCCAGACUCCUACGGGAGGCAGAAGUGGGGAAUAUUGCACAAUGGGCGGAAGCCUGAUGCAGCAACGCCGCGUGCGGGAUGACGGCCUUCGGGUUGUAAACCGCUUUCGCCUGUGACGAAGCGUGAGUGACGGUAAUGGGUAAAGAAGCACCGGCUAACUACGUG
Molecule: ribosomal RNA, 468 nt
Filed under: uncultured bacterium
Lineage: Bacteria
Description: partial 16S ribosomal RNA
Rfam family: Bacterial small subunit ribosomal RNA
Source: RNAcentral